CGAGCACCUUGCUCCCUCACCUGCGCGAGCACGCGGCUGGCCGGCGGCGCCCUGCAGCGGUGCGGGCGUGCUGCAUUCAGCCUGUGUAGCGAGAUUUGAGGCUUCCCGACCUGAGAGGUUAAACAAGGGAAGGAGGCACACAUCUU
Panicum hallii is the source of this 146-nucleotide long non-coding RNA. RefSeq lists it as uncharacterized. The transcript has 2 exons. Lineage: Eukaryota; Viridiplantae; Streptophyta; Magnoliopsida; Poales; Poaceae. The record is from RefSeq and is a predicted model, not a curated record.